CCUACGGGAGGCAGCAGUGGGGAAUAUUGCACAAUGGGGGAAACCCUGAUGCAGCGACGCCGCGUGAGUGAAGAAGUAUCUCGGUAUGUUAAGCUUUAUCAGCAUGGAAGAAAAUGACGGUACCUGAGUAAGAAGCUACGGCUAACUACGUGCCAGCAGCCGCGGUAAUACGUAGGGGGCCAGCGUUAUCCGGAUUUACCGGGUGUAAAGGGAGCGUAGACGGAAGCGCAAGUCUGAAGUGAAAUGCCGAGGCUUAACCCCGAAACUGCUUUGGAAACUGGGCAUCUAGAGUGCAGGAGAGGUAAGUGGAAUUCCUGGUGUAGCGGUGAAAUGCUUAGAUAUUAGGAGGAACACCAGUGGCGAAGGCGGUUUACUGGACUGUAACUGACGUUGAGGCUCGAAAGCGUGGGGAGCAAACAGGAUUAGAUACCCGAGUAGUC
RNAcentral lists this ribosomal RNA (440 nucleotides) under uncultured bacterium. Its description in RNAcentral is "partial 16S ribosomal RNA". It matches the Rfam family "Bacterial small subunit ribosomal RNA", at positions 338 to 795 of the family's 1533-position model. The record is from RNAcentral.